This 253-nucleotide ribosomal RNA is filed under the name uncultured bacterium. Its description in RNAcentral is "partial 16S ribosomal RNA". It matches the Rfam family "Bacterial small subunit ribosomal RNA", at positions 524 to 776 of the family's 1533-position model. The record is from RNAcentral.
UACGAAGGGUGCAAGCGUUAAUCGGAAUUACUGGGCGUAAAGCGUGCGUAGGCGGUGAGUUAAGUCUGUCGUGAAAUCCCCGGGCUCAACCUGGGAAUGGCGAUGGAUACUGGCUCGCUAGAGUGUGAUAGAGGAUGGUGGAAUUCCCGGUGUAGCGGUGAAAUGCGUAGAGAUCGGGAGGAACACCCGUGGCGAAGGCGGCCCCCUGGGUCGGCCCUGACGCUGAGGCGCGAAAGCGUGGGGAGCGAACGGG